Long non-coding RNA from Ostrinia furnacalis (Asian corn borer), 621 nucleotides. RefSeq lists it as uncharacterized. The record is from RefSeq and is a predicted model, not a curated record. The transcript is spliced from 3 exons. NCBI's taxonomy places the organism in Eukaryota, Metazoa, Arthropoda, Insecta, Lepidoptera, Crambidae.
UAAUUGCAAAAUUAUCAAUGAAAAAGUGAUAGAAAUGAGUGUUUAUAAAUUAGAACGAAUACUAAAUAAAUUAAUCAGAAUAAAUUCAUGAAACGGUAAGUCUGUAGAUGUAUUUAGCUAUUGGAAAAUAAGAUAACCAAAACAUUAUCUUCGGUUACGUUGCUGAAUUUAAUGAUUUUGUGUUACUUGUGAUAGGUAUGGAGACUUCAUACAUCUGCCUCUAAUACUAGAAAAGAGUUUUGUUUCAAAAUAAGGCAGAAGCAUCUUGAAGAAGAGGAGGCAAAUUAAAGAAGGAUUAAUAUUCACCGCUGUGGGAAACCUCAUCGCGUACUAGAAGACAUAUUGAAAAAUGAGGUUACCAAAAAUUCAACACAAAACUAACAACAAGGUUCAGAAAAACUCUACAACUGAAGGUGAUUAAGCUGUGAAGUGUCAAUUUAAUCAGUAAAACAGGUACAAUGCCUUUUCAUUAAAGUACUAAGUAGAGGAAUAUAUCAUUUUCCAACCAAGACCUCUAAAUCUUAUAAACAAAAUGAAGCGGAGGGAUCAUGUUAUGAAAAAGGUUGAAAAACACUGCUUUAUAGGAUAGAGGGCUACCUUUUUCUUUUUUUAUUAUUUUCU